GCCAGGCAUGGUGGUGUGUGCCUGUAGUCCCAGCUACUCAGGAGGCUGAGGUGGAAGGAUCAUUUGAGCCUGGGAGGUCAAGGGUGCAGUGAGAUAGUGCCACUGUACUCCAGCCUAGGUGACAGAAUGAGACUCUGUCUCAA
This is an unclassified non-coding RNA of Callithrix jacchus (white-tufted-ear marmoset), 143 nucleotides long. It matches the Rfam family "Metazoan signal recognition particle RNA". Rfam says of the family: The signal recognition particle (SRP) is a universally conserved ribonucleoprotein. It is involved in the co-translational targeting of proteins to membranes. Lineage: Eukaryota; Metazoa; Chordata; Mammalia; Primates; Cebidae. The record is from Ensembl.